UGGGAGGGUCGGCCAAAGCUUGCCUUAGACACCAUCAAAAAUGGCCAGGUAAGCGGGCUCCCAAUUAAAAAACACCGAUUUGGUUUAUCUUAGACACCAACUAGUUUAAUUAGUUUCGAUUAGAUCAAUCUAACAGUUCGUACUAGACCACUUAGCCAAGAAUCAAGUCCAUUUGGUUCUCGUUAAAGAUAUGGACUUGACCAACUACAACUAUUGUAAUUGAUCUAGAGAAUCCUUGACCUAAUCUAAGAUAACAAUUGAUUAG
RNAcentral lists this long non-coding RNA (265 nucleotides) under Elaeis guineensis (African oil palm). RNAcentral's name for it is "long non-coding RNA (EGUI_LNC064614)". Lineage: Eukaryota; Viridiplantae; Streptophyta; Magnoliopsida; Arecales; Arecaceae. The record is from RNAcentral.